AAAAGAAAACAAAACAAAGAGAAAGCAGGAUAAGUCUCUGUUUCACUGGGGUAAGGAGGCCAACAGCAGCCAUCUGCUCAGCUGUGGCAAGCAGCCUUCUUGCGAGUUCCAGACUAGAGGCCAAAGCCAGACGUGGAGCCCAUGUACAGCUGUGUCUGCAUUUGAAGGGGUUGCACUGUUAUUAGGAGGAAAGAUCCCACAGCUCUUUACCACCUAAAUAGAAGCACAGGAAUGACUUGGCUCACUCAAAAAUGGACCUGCCUCUGGGAUGGAAAGAGCUACCUUGUGCCAGCUCCAAAAUGCAACCCUUCCCAAUACUCAGCUCAGGAAGGGCAGAAAAAUCCUGUGUCCAAUGGAAAACUGAAAGUGGAAAUUUAAGUCACCAGAGUUAUUGCUCAAGGGUAGCAAGAGUACACAAUGCUUUAGCUGUGCACAAAAUAAAGGAUCUGACUGAUGAAGUCUAUAAUC
Gavialis gangeticus (Gharial) is the source of this 468-nucleotide long non-coding RNA. RefSeq lists it as uncharacterized. The transcript has 2 exons. Lineage: Eukaryota; Metazoa; Chordata; Crocodylia; Gavialidae. The record is from RefSeq and is a predicted model, not a curated record.